Molecule: ribosomal RNA, 442 nt
Filed under: uncultured bacterium
Lineage: Bacteria
Description: partial 16S ribosomal RNA
Rfam family: Bacterial small subunit ribosomal RNA
Source: RNAcentral
CCUACGGGGGGCAGCAGUAGGGAAUCUUUCACAAUGGGCGAAAGCCUGAUGGAGCAACGCCGCGUGCAGGAUGAAGGCCUUCGGGUUGUAAACUGCUUUUAUAAGCGAGAAAUAUGAGGGUAACUUAUGAAUAAGGAUCGGCUAACUACGUGCCAGCAGCCGCGGUCAUACGUAGGAUCCGAGCAUUAUCCGGAGUGACUGGGUGUAAAGAGUUGCGUAGGUGGCAUAAUAAGUAGCUAGUGAAAUCUGGUGGCUCAACCAUUCAGACUAUUAGCUAAACUGUUAAGCUCGAGACCGUUAGGGGUAACUGGAAUUUCUAGUGUAGGAGUGAAAUCCGUAGAUAUUAGAAGGAACACCAAUAGCGUAGGCAGGUUGCUGGGACGGUUCUGACACUAAGGCACGAAAGCGUAGGGAGCAAACGGGAUUAGAUACCCCAGUAGUC